RNAcentral lists this ribosomal RNA (465 nucleotides) under Vreelandella stevensii. RNAcentral describes it as "partial 16S ribosomal RNA". It matches the Rfam family "Bacterial small subunit ribosomal RNA", at positions 338 to 795 of the family's 1533-position model. The record is from RNAcentral. Lineage: Bacteria; Pseudomonadati; Pseudomonadota; Gammaproteobacteria; Oceanospirillales; Halomonadaceae.
CCUACGGGUGGCAGCAGUGGGGAAUAUUGGACAAUGGGGGCAACCCUGAUCCAGCCAUGCCGCGUGUGUGAAGAAGGCCCUCGGGUUGUAAAGCACUUUCCGUGAGGAAGAACGCCUGGUGGUUAAUACCCAUCAGGAAAGACAUCACUCACAGAAGAAGCACCGGCUAACUCCGUGCCAGCAGCCGCGGUAAUACGGAGGGUGCGAGCGUUAAUCGGAAUUACUGGGCGUAAAGCGCGCGUAGGUGGCUUGAUAAGCCGGUUGUGAAAGCCCCGGGCUCAACCUGGGAACGGCAUCCGGAACUGUCAAGCUAGAGUGCAGGAGAGGAAGGUAGAAUUCCCGGUGUAGCGGUGAAAUGCGUAGAGAUCGGGAGGAAUACCAGUGGCGAAGGCGGCCUUCUGGACUGACACUGACACUGAGGUGCGAAAGCGUGGGUAGCAAACAGGAUUAGAUACCCCAGUAGUC